AUUGAACGCUGGCGGCAUGCCUUACACAUGCAAGUCGAACGGUAACAGGUCUUCGGAUGCUGACGAGUGGCGAACGGGUGAGUAAUACAUCGGAACGUGCCUAGUAGUGGGGGAUAACUACUCGAAAGAGUGGCUAAUACCGCAUGAGAUCUACGGAUGAAAGCAGGGGAUCGCAAGACCUUGUGCUACUAGAGCGGCCGAUGGCAGAUUAGGUAGUUGGUGGGAUAAAAGCUUACCAAGCCGACGAUCUUUAGCUGGUCUGAGAGGACGAUCAGCCACACUGGGACUGGGACACGGCCCAGACUCCUACGGGAGGCAGCAGUGGGGAAUUUAGGACAAUGGGCGCAAGCCUGAUCCAGCAAUGCCGCGUGCAGGAUGAAGGCCUUCGGGUUGUCACCGGCUUUUGUACGGAACGAAAAGCCCCGGGUUAAUACCCUGGGGUCAUGACGGUACCGUAAGAAUAAGCACCGGCUAACUACGUGCCAGCCGCCGCCGUAA
RNAcentral lists this ribosomal RNA (498 nucleotides) under uncultured bacterium. RNAcentral describes it as "partial 16S ribosomal RNA". It matches the Rfam family "Bacterial small subunit ribosomal RNA", at positions 30 to 523 of the family's 1533-position model. The record is from RNAcentral.